AUAGGCAACAGAGUUUGUAAUUUCAAUUUCGUUUGGAUUGAAUUCCAUUCAAAGGUAGCUGCAUACAUAAAAGCCCUUUUUCCCAGUUCAGUUCUCACAAAUGGGACAGAAAGAGUAAAACAAUUAUCAGACCGGAGGGAAUAUUUCCCAACACUUUUCUUUUGAAUUAGACAACCUAAAUAUGAAGGCAACAACCCCAGAAUAGUUUUAUAAAUGAUUAAGUAAAAAUGAAUUUUCCUUCUAAUAGACAAAGAUGGCCAGGAUACUCUAUUAUACAAUAUACAAUGAUGAGUUAAAGGUUUACUAUCUGAUAUAAAUCUUAAAGCGCUGUGAUAAACAGCAUCCAAAGAAGAAAGAAGUUGAGAAGAAGCAUAUUGAUAAACCACAUCACCAUAAUCGAGUACAGGCAAGAAAGUAGCAGAAACUAACCUCUUUCUUACAUUAAAUGAAAAACAGAACUUAUUUCUAAAAUAAAACCCAAGCUUUAUUUUUAAUUGUUUCGUUAAAUUAGUUAUAUGAGACCCAAAAGAUAAUUUAUCAUCGAUUGUGAUACCAAGAUAUUUAUAUUCUUUCACUAACUCAAUCACAUUACCUUGCAAAGUCUGAAGAGGAAUAAAGUUGUCUACCGCCUUUUUCGAGCUUGAGAAUAACAUGAUUUUAGUUUUAUCAGCAUUCAGAACAAGUUUUAGUGUAUGAAGCCGUGACUGAAAAACAUCAAAUGCCGCUUGAAGUUUAAUCAAGGCUUGCUGUUUUGAAGGUGCACCACAAUACAUAACAGUGUCAUCUGCGUAAAAAUGUAAAUUAACAUAUUGAUUACCAUGAUCGAUACUGUUUAUGUAGAUAGUAAAUAAAAGGGGCCCUAACACGGAUCCUUGAGGAACUCCUUUAACAAUCUCCAAUAGUCCUGAAUUUAUGCCCUCAGCCUGAACACAUUGGGUUCUAUUGAUUAAAUAAUUUUUUAAACCAAAAAAUAACAUGUUUUGAUAAGCCAACACUCCUUAAUCUAUGCAGCAAUAUCUCAUUAUCCACUGUGUCAAAAGCCUUUGAUAAAUCAAUAAAAAGAGAAGCACAGUAAUCACCUUUAUCAACUGAUCCAAUAAUGUAAUUUAAAACUUUCAUAACGGCUGUAGUGGUACUGUGUUUUUUGCGAAACCCAGAUUGAUUACUAGAUAGAACUUUGUGAACAUUCAAAUAACAAGUCACUUGAUCACUAAUAAAACUUUCUAAAAUUUUUGAUAGAACACAAAGCUUAGAGAUUGGCCUAUAAUUAUCUAGUAUAGUAGAGUCUCCCCCUUUUAAUAAGGGGAUAACAAAAGCUGAUUUCCAGAUUUCAGGAAUAACACCAGUGUCUAAUGAAAGAUUAAACAGAUAAGUUAAAGGGGUCGAAAUGAUAUCAGCUGCCAUUUUCAAAUAAAUAGUUUCCACACAGUCAGGGCCUGGAGAUUUGUUUAUAUCAAGCGAUUUAAGUGCUUUAUGGACAUCAGUACUCUUGAUGUGAACAAAAGAGAACUCUUCCUUUGUAAGACUAGUUUCUGCACUAACAAAGUCAUUAUUUGAGGACCAAAGAUUGUAUGACUCGAAUAAAGACCCAGAAUCAAUAAAAUGCUUAUUAAAAUGGUUAAGUAUUUGCUCUUUAUCAGAGAUGACCGUGGAAUCCAUAUUUAUACGUGAAGGAAAAUCGGAUGAUUUUUUGUUCCCUGUUAUAUAUUUUAUAUU
Cyprinus carpio carpio is the source of this 1716-nucleotide long non-coding RNA. NCBI's taxonomy places the organism in Eukaryota, Metazoa, Chordata, Actinopteri, Cypriniformes, Cyprinidae. The record is from Ensembl.